RNAcentral lists this long non-coding RNA (1286 nucleotides) under Spirodela polyrhiza (greater duckweed). RNAcentral describes it as "long non-coding RNA (SPOL_LNC002680)". The record is from RNAcentral. Lineage: Eukaryota; Viridiplantae; Streptophyta; Magnoliopsida; Alismatales; Araceae.
UGAAACUUUGGUGAGCAGCAAGCAUACUAGUAACUUGUUUCGUUUCUUUUAUAGAAAAAAAAUGAAUUAGUGAACGGGAAGAAGGCUUGAUUGUUGAAUCAGAAGCAUACUGUCAUAUUCUUUUGAAAAUAUAUGCCAGAGUAAAUGUGCAUGAUGUUCCAUAGUUCCCAAUUUAUUUGAAAGGCAACCAAGUAUAUAGGGGACAUUAAAACCUGAAACUGACCAGUUCCAAAAUCAGUUGUUUGGCAGCAUCGCAGUGCUUGUUUUGCAUUAUCAGUUAAAAAAAUUGUGUUCAUAUUAUUAGGAUAGUAGAAAAUUUUGUGACUUUUUUACAAAAUGGCGCCAUCCUGGUGACUCUUGAGGACCAACUCAUUUCCUUUGAGCUUUCAUUCAAGAAGAAUAUGCCUCUUCAACCGCAGAUGGGUGUCGUUCCUCACAUCUUCACCUGCCUGGUUCUAUUUGAAAUCUAUAUAUUAGGAUGCUUGAAGUGAGUGCAUGAUGCUGAGAGUAAUUUUAAUUUGACUUGAGAAGGAUCAUAAGUAGGAUAUUGUCACGUGAUGACCUUCGAUGAUUUCCCUGCAGGGUUCUGCAGUGAACACUAAGACGUUCUGAAGAACUUCAAAGAAUCUCUGGAUCUUGAAGCAGUCCUGUAUCACGGAACUUUUCUAGGGUUCAUGCAGAGAAGGCAUGCUAAUCUAGGGGCGAGUAAACAGGCGAGGUCCUAACUCUAGCUUACGGUGGUGUUCUUGUAGGCCCAUAGCCUCUAUCUGAUGAUGUCUGAGAAGUUUAUCUACGAAAGUACCCAAUGGAAGAAGGUAGCUUAUCUCAAAGGGAAUGUUCAGGAGACUUGGAGCAGAGCUUUCCGUGCUUCAUGGUGAAAUCAAGCCACAGAAUUUGAAGGUAGGCUCUCAUGUCGCUCUACAUUAGUGGGUGCUUGUAUUUGUAAUGACUAGAUUGUCUUUGGGAACUCUCUUCUCUGGCUUCUUGGUCAGUUCCAUGUGAAGCACUCUCUUCAAUAUUAUGUUGAAUGCUUUGAACCGGCCUGCCUGUGUUCAGUCUCCUCCGUAGUCUUCAUGCUCUUGUUUUUACAGCUCUCAUCAGGAGAGGGUUCACGAUACCAAAGUCCAAUCCAAACCAUGGUGAAGGUCACUUCUCUAUUUAUCCUUCUGAAUGAUUUAAGCUGUAGCUUAUGGAAAUUUUACAGAAUGCUGCAUUCUUUAAAAAUGUUUAACAGGGUUUACGAAAAAAUAUCUCACUUCAGAGUUAUUCUCAAAAUGUGGGUUCUU